Molecule: ribosomal RNA, 468 nt
Filed under: uncultured bacterium
Lineage: Bacteria
Description: partial 16S ribosomal RNA
Rfam family: Bacterial small subunit ribosomal RNA
Source: RNAcentral
GACGAACGCUGGCGGCGUGCUUAACACAUGCAAGUCGAACGGACAGGCCCUGCUCUUGUGGGGUGCUCGAGUGGCGAACGGGUGAGUAACACGUGAGUAACCUGCCCUUGUCUUUGGGAUAACUCCUGGAAACUGGGGCUAAUACCCGAUAGGAUCUCCUGCUGCACGUGGUUGGUUGGAGAAUUUCGGCGGUUGUGGCUGGACUCGCGGCUUAUCCGCUUGUUGGUGGGGUAGUGGCUGACCAAGGCUUUGACGGGUAGCCGGCCUGAGAGGGGGACCGGCGACAAUGGGCCUGAGAGACGGCCCAGAAUCCUACGGGAGGCAGCAGUGGGGAAUAUUGCACAAUGGGCGGAAGCCUGAUGCAGAAACGCCGCGUGCGGGAUGACGGCCUUCGGGUUGUAAACCGCUUUCGCCUGUGACGAAGCGUGAGUGACGGUAAUGAGUAAAGAAGCACCGGCUAACUACGUG